CGCUAUCACUCCUACGGGAGGCAGCAGUAGGGAAUCUUCCACAAUGGGCGCAAGCCUGAUGGAGCAACACCGCGUGAGUGAAGAAGGGUUUCGGCUCGUAAAGCUCUGUUGUUAAAGAAGAACACGUAUGAGAGUAACUGUUCAUACGUUGACGGUAUUUAACCAGAAAGUCACGGCUAACUACGUGCCAGCAGCCGCGGUAAUACGUAGGUGGCAAGCGUUAUCCGGAUUUAUUGGGCGUAAAGAGAGUGCAGGCGGUUUUCUAAGUCUGAUGUGAAAGCCUUCGGCUUAACCGGAGAAGUGCAUCGGAAACUGGACAACUUGAGUGCAGAAGAGGGUAGUGGAACUCCAUGUGUAGCGGUGGAAUGCGUAGAUAUAUGGAAGAACACCAGUGGCGAAGGCGGCUACCUGGUCUGCAACUGACGCUGAGACUCGAAAGCAUGGGUAGCGAACAGGAUUAGAUACCCUGGUAG
Molecule: ribosomal RNA, 473 nt
Filed under: uncultured bacterium
Lineage: Bacteria
Description: bacterial SSU rRNA
Rfam family: Bacterial small subunit ribosomal RNA
Source: RNAcentral